GACAGGAAGUGAUGUCAGGUGCAGACAGGAAGUGAGGUUCUAAAUAAACAGGAAGUGAUGUGUAGUCUAAAUAGGAAGUUCCGUGUGAGAGCAGUGAGUUGGGAAGGAAUAUAGAGAAGACGUUGAAGCUGGCAGGGGAGGAGUGCCUUCACCUCAUUCCCUGAAACAUGAGAGAAUCAAUGAGAAGAAGAUUCUAGAAGUCACCAACAAGAUCAUUGAUCUGCUGACAGGAGAGGUUCCUAUAAGGUGUCAGGAUGUCACUGU
Molecule: long non-coding RNA, 264 nt
Organism: Rana temporaria (common frog)
Lineage: Eukaryota; Metazoa; Chordata; Amphibia; Anura; Ranidae
Exons: 3
Source: RefSeq, a predicted model, not a curated record